RNAcentral lists this long non-coding RNA (892 nucleotides) under Homo sapiens (human). Its description in RNAcentral is "non-protein coding lnc-BRF2-9:11". The record is from RNAcentral. Lineage: Eukaryota; Metazoa; Chordata; Mammalia; Primates; Hominidae.
GGCCCUUACAAGCCUGGGACAAGCCUGGGUGGAAUUCUAUAUUGAGGAGUUAAUCCUAAUAAAAAAUGAUUACAGAAGAGGACGCCUCCACCCACAGGAAGGAGCCAGCACGGUGGGGAGCUGUUUCACCAGGGGAGUGUUCUCAGCAGCUGCCACACGUGGAGUUGUGGAGCAGGAUCUUGGCAGUGGACUGCCACGGGAGCUCUGGGGAAAAAGGACCAGUUGGACUCCAGUACCUCCUGAGAGACCACCACCCUCCAUGCCUCCAGCUCAUGCCCAGCUCUGAGUCAGACGGACUCUUCCUGUUGUACUGCGAGGUUCUGCAAACCUUGAAGGGCAAACACAGUGAGGGUCUCUGACUUGCUGUGUGGACAGCCCACUCUCUGACAGCCCAGAUCAUCUGAAGCUAUCCCUGGGCUGGGAGCUGGAAGCCAUUCUUGUGAACCACUCCUUAUACCUUGAGCGAAGCCUCUUUGGGUCCCAGAAGUCUGAAGCUCCAGCUGCCUGGCAAGACUGAGUCUAGAUGAUUUCUUGGGUACCAGUAGUUUGGCAUUUAAAAAUACUGGAUUAACUGCAGUGUAAACUUAGAUUGCAUUUCAGAUUGUAAACAAUAACCCCCGUGCUUCAUGUGAUGUUAAAUCAGAAAUGAGCUAUUAGCCAAGCUAGUCCUCUUAUGAAUGAGCCCCUAACCCUGAUCCAGGGAUCGUUGAAUGAAAAUCAUCAAAAUGAUUUAUCUUCACUUUACCUAUUGUCUCACAAGAAUCUCAUCACUCAGGGAAAAGGAGGGUGUUCUUCAGGGAACGGAGGGCAUGAGGAAGGGGGAUUUCCUUAUAUCUCAACUUUCAGAGGGAGCUGAGUUGUAAACAGAUGGAACAAGGUGUGUACGAGAAGC